GACGAACGCUGGCGGCGUGCUUAACACAUGCAAGUCGAACGGUGAAGCGCCUUCCUUUUUGGUGGGUGUGGAUGAGUGGCCAACGGGUGAGUAACACGUGAGUAACCUGCUCCCUUUUUCUUGAUAACCGCAUGCAAGUGUUGCUACUACGUGAUAUUCUGGAUCUGUUGCAUGAUUGGUCUGGGAAAGUUUUUGUUUCGGUUAGGGAUGGGGCCGCGGCCUAUCAGCUUGUUGGUGAGGUGAUGGCCUACCAAGGCGGUGAGGAGUAGCCGGCCUGAGAGGGUGGACGGUAAUGAUAGUGAUGAGAGGCGGAGAAGACUACUACGGGAAGCAGCAGUGGGGAAUAUGGCACGAGGGGAGGAAGGAUGAAGCAGCGACGCGGGAGGGAGGAUGGAGGUCUUCGGGUUGAGAACCGCUAUCGCCAGUGAAGAAGGGCGGCCGCGUUUGUGCGUGGGUUGACGGUAGCUGGAUAAGAAGCGCCGGCUAACUACGUG
This 494-nucleotide ribosomal RNA is filed under the name uncultured bacterium. RNAcentral's name for it is "partial 16S ribosomal RNA". It matches the Rfam family "Bacterial small subunit ribosomal RNA", at positions 28 to 507 of the family's 1533-position model. The record is from RNAcentral.